UACGUAGGUGGCGAGCGUUGUCCGGAUUUACUGGGCGUAAAGAGCGCGCAGGCGGUCGUACAAGUCGCGUGUGAAAGCCCCCGGCUCAACUGGGGAGGGUCACGCGAUACUGUUCGACUCGAAGGCAGGAGAGGGUAGUGGAAUUCCCGGUGUAGUGGUGAAAUGCGUAGAUAUCGGGAGGAACACCAGUGGCGAAGGCGCCACUCUGGGCCGGUACUGACGCUGAGGAGCGAAAGCGUGGGGAGCAAACAGG
Molecule: ribosomal RNA, 253 nt
Filed under: uncultured bacterium
Lineage: Bacteria
Description: partial 16S ribosomal RNA
Rfam family: Bacterial small subunit ribosomal RNA
Source: RNAcentral